UCGGUUGGAGGGGUUUGUAGGUUUUUUUUUAAGUUGAAAGAAACAAAUUAAAGCUCAACUUUAUACAUUAUUUCAAAACGAAUAUACUGGAGUAUAAAUAGAGGGUAAUAAAAUUUCUAGUGGAGUGAUCAAAUACGUUGAUAAUAGAAGGAAGAUCUAUGGCGAAGGCAAUUAUCUGGGUAUAUUCUGACACUGAGAAGUGAAAGCUUGGUAGCGAACGGGAUUAGACACCCCGAUGAGUGCUAAUAUUUAGAAUUUUUAGAUAUAAUAGCUAACGCAUUAAGCUCUCCACC
This is a ribosomal RNA of 293 nucleotides. It matches the Rfam family "Bacterial small subunit ribosomal RNA", at positions 555 to 873 of the family's 1533-position model. The record is from Rfam.